This 984-nucleotide ribosomal RNA is filed under the name Triticum aestivum (bread wheat). RNAcentral's name for it is "partial small subunit ribosomal RNA". Lineage: Eukaryota; Viridiplantae; Streptophyta; Magnoliopsida; Poales; Poaceae. The record is from RNAcentral.
AUGGACGGAACAGCCGCAAGACUCCAAACACCUUUUUCUUUGGAUGCUCUGCCUCUGCUAGUCCCCUCCGGCGCUGAUUUCGAGCCAGCCAGGCGAAUUGACGCUGGCUCCGCGAUCUUGCAGGUGUGCAUUUUGGCAGUCUGCCAUUGCCGAGGGCGGGGGAGAGGCGCUUCGGUCUCGGCGGGGGCGAUGGAGGGGCGGGGGAGGCGGCCGCGGAGCCCGGAGCGGCAGAGGCCGCCGGCGAGGAAGGUGCCGGUGGUGUACUACCUCACGCGGAGCUGCCACCUCGAGCACCCGCACUUCGUCGAGGUGCCGGCGCCCUCCUCCUCCGACGGGCUCUACCUCCGAGAUGUGAUUCGUCACCUCAACAUGGUGCGCGGCAAGGGCAUGGCCUCCAUGUACUCCUGGUCCUGCAAGAGGAGCUACAAGAACGGAUUCGUGUGGCACGAUCUCGCCGAGGACGACCUCGUCCUCCCGGCCACCGACGGCGAGUACGUGCUCAAGGGCUCCGAGAUCCUGGACCAACCUUCUUCAGGCCAAUUUCACCAUGGGAGUAAUGGCAACCAGAAGCAGCAGAGCAGGGUGAAAGAGGGUACAAGGUUGCCUUUGUCAAGGGAGGCCUCCUUCUCCUCCUCCCCACCUAGUGUGACAGUUAGAGAAGCCAAGCCUCGGCGCGUGCCGUCGGUGCCUUCACGGGACGAGGACGACUCCCCCUCACCCUGCCGGGGCACCUCCUCGGAGACAAUGUCGCCGGAGUCGGAGCCUCAGAGGACUGUCAUGUCAUGGCCGACGCCGGCAGAAUUCAGGGUUUUCAAGCCUACCGGUUUGAUGGAUGCCGCAACUCAAACCGAUGACCUCGGCAGAAGAUCAGCUCGGAGAGUACCUGAGAUGCAUAAGAAGAGCCUGAGCACCGAUCAUGACGCUGUGGUUCGUGAUGUCACCGAGUACCGGCAACAGAGCCAUCCGCGCCGUGUUGACAGGUAG